AAAAAUUAGGUGCUUUUAGCUUAAUAGAGGAAGUUGGGUGAAAUUCCCACACAGCGAAAGCUGCUGUAAGGUGGACGAAAUUACAAUUAACCACUGGGUAACCGGGAAGGUGUAAAAGUAGGAUGAAACCAAGUCAGAAGACUUACCAGUUCAUAUU
RNAcentral lists this non-coding RNA (157 nucleotides) under uncultured Fusobacterium sp. Lineage: Bacteria; Fusobacteriati; Fusobacteriota; Fusobacteriia; Fusobacteriales; Fusobacteriaceae. The record is from RNAcentral.